UCUGCUGUAUUGCUGCUAAGUAGGCCUUCUAAGCUGAGGGUCGCUGGUUCGAUUCCAGCCGGGCGCACCA
This 70-nucleotide transfer RNA is filed under the name Candidatus Nitrospira inopinata. RNAcentral describes it as "Pseudo tRNA". The record is from RNAcentral. Lineage: Bacteria; Pseudomonadati; Nitrospirota; Nitrospiria; Nitrospirales; Nitrospiraceae.